UGGGCCCUCCAGGCUCAUUUUGAAGCGGUCACGCUUGUUUAGUUUGCCAUUACCCAUGAUUAGCACAUUUAUUGGACACUUCUGUCAAACGACUUCCACAUCGGUCAUAUAUUUGCGAGGAAACUGGAAGAAUGAAGGAAGAGUUGGAUGGCGUCUAUUUAAGUUUAUACUUUGCUUUUUCCAGAUGUUCAAGCCAGCUCACAAUACUGAAUUCUGCCCAAUGUUUUGACAUGAAUAAGGGAAGCACUCUUCAUACAAACCUCCAUGAGAAAUACAAGAACUUGGCUGUUAUAAUUCUAAAGAAAGUCUUCAAAAUGUGAGCCAACUAAUCAAAGCACAGCUGCCUGCAGAAUUCAACAUUAGGUCAUGAACUUACUUUUACAAUGAAUGCUUUACCAAGACACUAAUUCCAACACCAAAACAUUUCAUUAUUUACCCCACUCCGUGUCUGAUACCCUCCUUAAAUAAAUUGGGUUGGCUCCAAAGAAGCAUGAGCAGAAUACUAAUUAAGUUGUGU
Molecule: long non-coding RNA, 517 nt
Organism: Podarcis raffonei (Aeolian wall lizard)
Lineage: Eukaryota; Metazoa; Chordata; Lepidosauria; Squamata; Lacertidae
Exons: 3
Source: RefSeq, a predicted model, not a curated record